CAGCAGCCGCGGGAAUACGGAGGGUGCAAGCGUUAUCCGGAUUUAUUGGGUUUAAAGGGUCCGUAGGCGGAUCUGUAAGUCAGUGGUGAAAUCUCACAGCUUAACUGUGAAACUUCCAUUGAUACUGCAGGUCUUGAGUAAAUUUGAAGUGGCUGGAAUAAGUAGUGUAGCGGUGAAAUGCAUAGAUAUUACUUAGAACACCAAUUGCGAAGGCAGGUCACUAAGAUUUAACUGACGCUGAUGGACGAAAGCGUGGGGAGCGAACAGGAUUAGAUACCCCGGUAGUCCCUGUCUCUUAUAC
Molecule: ribosomal RNA, 301 nt
Filed under: uncultured bacterium
Lineage: Bacteria
Description: partial 16S ribosomal RNA
Rfam family: Bacterial small subunit ribosomal RNA
Source: RNAcentral